Molecule: ribosomal RNA, 253 nt
Filed under: uncultured bacterium
Lineage: Bacteria
Description: partial 16S ribosomal RNA
Rfam family: Bacterial small subunit ribosomal RNA
Source: RNAcentral
UACGUAGGGGGCUAGCGUUGUCCGGAAUCAUUGGGCGUAAAGAGCGUGUAGGCGGUCCGGUAAGUCCGCUGUGAAAGUCGGGGGCUCAACCCUUGGAUGCCGGUGGAUACUGCAGGGCUAGAGUCCGGAAGAGGCGAGUGGAAUUCCUGGUGUAGCGGUGAAAUGCGCAGAUAUCAGGAGGAACACCGAUGGCGAAGGCAGCUCGCUGGGACGGUACUGACGCUGAGGCGCGAAAGCGUGGGGAGCAAACAGG